This 460-nucleotide ribosomal RNA is filed under the name uncultured bacterium. RNAcentral describes it as "partial 16S ribosomal RNA". It matches the Rfam family "Bacterial small subunit ribosomal RNA", at positions 338 to 795 of the family's 1533-position model. The record is from RNAcentral.
CCUACGGGUGACAGCAGUGAGGAAUAUUGGUCAAUGGGCGCGAGUCUGAACCAGCCAAGUAGCGUGAAGGAUGACUGCCCUAUGGGUUGUAAACUUCUUUUAUAUGGGAAUAAAACGUUCCACGUGUGGGAUUUUGUAUGUACCAUAUGAAUAAGGAUCGGCUAACUCCGUGCCAGCAGCCGCGGUAAUACGGAGGAUCCGAGCGUUAUCCGGAUUUAUUGGGUUUAAAGGGAGCGUAGGUGGAUUGUUAAGUCAGUUGUGAAAGUUUGCGGCUCAACCGUAAAAUUGCAGUUGAAACUGGCAGUCUUGAGUACAGUAGAGGUGGGCGGAAUUCGUGGUGUAGCGGUGAAAUGCUUAGAUAUCACGAAGAACUCCGAUUGCGAAGGCAGUUCACUGGACUGCAACUGACACUGAGGCUCGAAAGUGUGGGUAUCAAACAGGAUUAGAUACCCCAGUAGUC